UCCAGACUCCUACGGGAGGCAGCAGUGAGGAAUAUUGGUCAAUGGGCGGAAGCCUGAACCAGCCAAGUCGCGUGAGGGAAGAAGGCCCUGCGGGUCGCAGACCUCUUUGGACGGGGAGCAAGGCCGCCGACGUGUCGGCGGAAGGAGAGUACCCGUAGAACAAGCAUCGGCUAACUCCGUGCCAGCAGCCGCGGUAAUACGGAGGAUGCGAGCGUUAUCCGGAUUUAUUGGGUUUAAAGGGUGCGUAGGCGGAAGGUUAAGUCAGCGGUCAAAUGUCGGUGCUCAACACCGGCCUGCCGUUGAAACUGGCAGUCUCGAGUUGGAGAGAAGUAUGCGGAAUGCGCGGUGUAGCGGUGAAAUGCAUAGAUAUCGCGCAGAACUCCGAUUGCGAAGGCAGCAUGCCGGCUCCACACUGACGCUGAGGCACGAAAGCGUGGGUAUCGAACAGGAUUAGAUACCCUAGUAAA
This 467-nucleotide ribosomal RNA is filed under the name uncultured bacterium. Its description in RNAcentral is "bacterial SSU rRNA". It matches the Rfam family "Bacterial small subunit ribosomal RNA", at positions 330 to 794 of the family's 1533-position model. The record is from RNAcentral.